UCGUCAAUCCUCAUCCGACCUUUUUCUCGCCGAUGUGCGACCUGAGCCUCCUCGACCUGCAUAUACUUAUGGGCCCAAACUAGAAGAUCAGUAUAAUUCCUUAGGAAUAUCUUAUCCAUGGAGUAGAUGAGGUGCUUGUUGCAAAGGCCUUGCUUUAGAGCCGACAUGGUGAUAGCUUUAUCAAAAUUGCAAACUUCUAACAUGGCCGUGUUGAAACAUGCCACGUAAUCCCAUAGAGAUUCACACUCUUCCUGG
This 255-nucleotide long non-coding RNA is filed under the name Elaeis guineensis (African oil palm). Its description in RNAcentral is "long non-coding RNA (EGUI_LNC017414)". Lineage: Eukaryota; Viridiplantae; Streptophyta; Magnoliopsida; Arecales; Arecaceae. The record is from RNAcentral.